CCUCCAGCUCGGCCAAUGCCAACUCAUUGCUGGCACGUGUCCGGAGACCAUCCAGCUCCUUCCUGUGGGCCUGCAGCACCAGCUCUGUCAACCGCGUGAAAGACUGGGAAACCAAGGGUCACAGCAACAGAGAAGACCCGUAACAGCAAGAGACCAAUGACGCCGUCUUCCCCCUGGGUGACAAGUAAGGGGACAAAUGGGGAGAAUGAUCCAGAAGGAGACAAAUCUCAAGAGAAGAGUCAAGACAAAGGCUCUUGGCACACCAAUGUCACACCAGGGACACAGCCUCGCUGUCUGCUGGACCACACGCUACCACCUGACUUCCUCCUCUUACCCAAUUGCAGACUGAUGGUCCCUCAUGCUGGCCUCAUCCUGGGGAGAAGGCGCACCAGGCUCUCUGGGCAAAUGCAUUACUCAGCAUUUGCACUGUCUUGCUCUGGGAGGGAUGGGAAGCAGAAAUAAAAGAGGCAGCCCUGGUCUUUGGCAGACAGAACCCUGAUCCUCUAACUCCAAGGCCAUGUUUUAACCUCCAGGACAUUGAGUCAGUGGCUCUGAUUCAGAUGCCACCUGCAAGAAAGACUGAAGAUUUUAGAAUGAUACUCUAUCCCUCCUUUCUUUUCAAAGACACGAACAAAUGUGUGCGCGUGCGCGCGCGCACACACACACACACACACACACACACACACUCCCUCGAUGUAAUCGGAGGUGAUAUGGGGACCAGAACAACUCUAAAGGCUACCACCUUCACAUCAAAUCUUGAAGGACCAAUCUUCGGAAACCCAGGGCCCAGAACCCCAGGGGCCGUCAUCGUGUAGAAGUGCUUCCCAGUCGAACACAGGGUCCCACAAGGCUGGGAAGGGAUGCAUGUUCCCAGUGCCUGAGCCCUAGGAACUCUCUACUCCAGAGCCCCCAGCAGUGAGAUGGCCCUGGAAGGUCGCUCCAGCAGCCAUUUGACACCCCCAGUGACUCUGAGUGACAGGCAAUACUGACCUCAGUCGAAGAUCCCAAUCUCUUGUCUCUGUAUUCACCAAGGAGGACCCCGCUCACGCUUCCUUGCUCCCUGCUAUGUCUGAGCUUCCCCCCAGGACACAUAUCUGAGCGGAAAAGCUAGGCGCUGCUGGAAGCAGCUCACCCCUUGCAGAAUUCUCCCCCUCUUCUCUCAGUCCCAGACACACAUGCAGCAUAGUGAGUUUCCCAUUGUAUGAGUCCCAAGACACCAAUACUACUUACAACUUCCCUCCGGAAGAAAAUGCAUGCAUGCAUUCAUUUAUGCAUUCACUCAAACAAACGGCUAUUGAAUGCCUACUAUGUGCCAGGAACUAGGUACUAGAAGACACAGCAGUGAAUGAUACAGAUAACUCCUUGUCUUCAGGAAGCUUCUAUUCUAGGGAGGAAGAACAGAUGAUAAGGAAGCCAACUAAUAAAUACUUUCAGAGUGAUGUUAAGAGGCAGGAGCAGAAUAAUGGAGCACAGAGUGAGGAGACCCAUGUGCAAGCUGCUUUAGAUUGGCUGGUCAGUGAAGACCUUUUUUUUUUUUUUUUAAUGUUUAUUUACUUUUUGAGAGGGAGAGAAAGAGAGACAGAGUGUGAGUGGGGGAAGGGCAGAGAGAGAGGGAGACGCAGAAUCCCAAGCAGGCUCCAGGCUCUGAGCUAUUAGUACAGAGCCCGACGCGGGGCUCAAACUCAGACUGUGAGAUCAUGACCUGAACCGAAGUCGGACGUUUAACCGACUGAGCCACCCAGGUGCUCCUCAGUGAAGACCUUUUAAAGCAAGUGACAUUUGAGCUGAGACCUGUGUGACAAGAGACCAACACAACAGAGAUCUGAGGGACCGGGGCCCCAGGCAGGUGCAACAGCAAAUACCCCUCAGGCAGGAACACACUUCAGUCAAAAUAGAAAUUCCUCAGAAAAGGAAGAGGGAGCCCCAUUAUUCUUUCCUUUGUUAUAAAGGGAGAAACACAGCAAGGCCGUUCCCUGCUCUGGGAUCUCAUGGGGACCCAGCCUCAUAUGUACACCUGUGUGCACAUGCACAUAGGAUCUAACCUGAAGAAUGUACCAAGAAACUUCUCAAACGCUAACAAGGCCAACUUGGGGACCCCUCACCCCACUUUGUGAUGAGAUCUCUAUACUGAAUGGCUCAUGUAUGUAAAGUCCACUGCUCCUGUGCACAUGGUAGGGACACUGAGCAGGUGCUUGAGACACAGCAGUUCCCUAGCCCUCGCCCUUCCCGCUGCCGUGUGCACAAACCUACAUAGGGCCUCUGUGACAUGAGCUGUGUGCUCCAGCCAACCCUGUCCUGCUCCCCUCUGGCAGACCCCUGACCUGGCCUUGCCUCCCAGAGCCUGCUGCUGAAUGGUCAGUGGGCACAGCUGAGGUAGCCAAUAUCUGCCAGGCUACUGAGCACUCACCCCUCCGCCCUCCUGAGCCUCUUCCUAGGCAGGGCCAUGUUGACGGGCAGCAGAAGGUUCCCAGAGAACAAAAAACGGGGGCUGGGAGCCUCAGGAGCAAACAUCUUAUAGGGGCCACGGCCUCCAGAUGUGUCUGCCUUCACACAGAGCCAGUGAAGGAAACUCCUAGCAAGGAUGUGGUGGAACUGAAGUUGGUACGAUCAUGGUCUGGCCACCACCAGUGAGCUCAGCCAGGCAGAAGAGUAGAAGCCCCACGUGAGGUGUUUUCCACAGCACCUCCUCCCCCACCCCUGGCCCCCUGGGGAACCCUACUUAGUCUUGAAGAAACCACUCAAAUGUCACUUCUUCUGUGAAGCCUUUACCAACCAACUCAGGAGGAAUUUAUCACCCGUGAUUCCAAAGCAUUUUGACAUGGCUUUUGCAUACUAUUCUGCUUGUCUGUUUGGAUGCCUGACUUCCCAACUGUCUGUACUCUGAGUUCCCAGAGGGCAGCACAGCAUCUUAUUCAUUUCAUAUUCUCAUUGCCUGGCAGAAAGCAGAUAUAAUAAUACAUAUUAGUCAACAAAACUGAAUACAGGAGAGAAAAAAUGAACGUGUGGGUGAGUAAAUAAAUGAGUGAAUGAAUGAAGUUCGGUACAUUCCAGGAGAUAAGAUCAGCGAGAACAAAUUUUAAUCAGGGCAAAGCAAUCAGGGAACAACCCACAUUUGGAAGCCAACUGUCAGCCUUCUCUGUAGAUUAUGGGGCCCCAGUCACAGUUCUCAGGAAAUCUAUUAUCAAAAUAGUAAUGUGAGGGCAACCCUUAGAUCUCAUUCUCAAAGGUCCCCCAGCCAGACUCCUCAAUCCUCACCCCUGACAGUUCCCCAGAGGGUCACGUCAAGGAGGCAGACUUGGCCAACAGCAGGGGCAUGAACAUGGUUCCAUUCCGGAGCCCUCAGUGGGUGGGGGAGGCACAGGUCUGGCUCACUGGAGAGAGCCAACCCUUGGUGGGCUGUGCAAGGGUCUUCUGGGAUAAGCCAACUGCAGAAGAGGUGUUUCAAGUCUGGGCGGUCUGCACUCAAGAUGUGGGCCAUCACUUUUCUCGGGGCCUCAGUUUCCCCUGUUGUAAAACCAGGAGGCUGAUGAUUAAUCCUCUCCUCCUCAGUGGGAGGAAUUAAAUGUCCAGGAAGCUCUGUGCCUCCCACCCCCGACAAAGCACACUGCCCAGGAAGGAGAGCCAACAAGAGGUCAGAGGCCUGUGCAGAAAAUUGGCAGUUUUACAGGGAAACAGGCACAAAUAUUAGAUUACAGAAGAAGGCACUCUGAGAAGAACUGGCAAUCAGGAUAGAAGGGUAAUGGCCAAAUAUCGACUUUCAUGCUACACAGCUCAUC
Acinonyx jubatus (cheetah) is the source of this 3776-nucleotide long non-coding RNA. RefSeq lists it as uncharacterized. The transcript is spliced from 3 exons. NCBI's taxonomy places the organism in Eukaryota, Metazoa, Chordata, Mammalia, Carnivora, Felidae. The record is from RefSeq and is a predicted model, not a curated record.